GUUUGAUCCAGGUCACUUCUGUUUGAUAUUUGUCCGGAUCUUAUGUCACUCAACCUUUUGCAAAAGGUACUAUGGCUUUAUCAUUUACCAGGAUAAAGUCAAAUCAGAUAUACCUUAGAUUAUAUCAAUCUAAAUGCAAUAAUUCCUAUAAGAUAGGAUCCGAUAGCUUUUGAUCAAAUAUACCAAACAUACCAUUUCUCCCU
This 203-nucleotide long non-coding RNA is filed under the name Mytilus galloprovincialis (Mediterranean mussel). The record is from RNAcentral. Lineage: Eukaryota; Metazoa; Mollusca; Bivalvia; Mytilida; Mytilidae.